RNAcentral lists this ribosomal RNA (269 nucleotides) under uncultured prokaryote. Its description in RNAcentral is "partial 16S ribosomal RNA". It matches the Rfam family "Bacterial small subunit ribosomal RNA", at positions 524 to 792 of the family's 1533-position model. The record is from RNAcentral.
UACGGAGGAUCCUAGUGUUAUCCGGAUUUAUUGGGUUUAAAGGGAGCGUAGGCGGGAGGUCAAGUCAGCUGUGAAAUGUAUCUGCUUAACGGGUACACUGCAGUUGAAACUGGUUUUCUUGAGUGCGUAAGAGGCAGGCGGAAUUCGUUGUGUAGCGGUGAAAUGCUUAGAUAUGACGAGGAACUCCUAUUGCGAAGGCAGCUUGCCGGGUCGUUACUGACGCUGAUGCUCGAAGGUGCGGGGAUCAAACAGGAUUAGAUACCCCGGUA